CCUACGGGUGGCAGCAGUCGAGAAUCAUUCACAAUGGGGGAAACCCUGAUGGUGCGACGCCGCGUGGGGGAAUGAAGGUCUUCGGAUUGUAAACCCCUGUCAUGUGGGAGCAAAUUAAAAAGAUAGUACCACAAGAGGAAGAGACGGCUAACUCUGUGCCAGCAGCCGCGGUAAUACAGAGGUCUCAAGCGUUGUUCGGAAACACUGGGCGUAAAGUGUGCGUAGGCUGUUUCGUAAGUCGUGUGUGAAAGGCGCGGGCUCAACCCGCGGUCGGCACAUGAUACUGCGAGACUAGAGUAAUGGAGGGGUAACCGGAAUUCUCGGUGUAGCAGUGAAAUGCGUAGAUAUCGAGAGGAACACUCGUGGCGAAGGCGGGUUCCUGGACAUUAACUGACGCUGAGGCACGAAGGCCAGGGGAGCGAAAGGGAUUAGAUACCCCUGUAGUC
Molecule: ribosomal RNA, 446 nt
Filed under: uncultured bacterium
Lineage: Bacteria
Description: partial 16S ribosomal RNA
Rfam family: Bacterial small subunit ribosomal RNA
Source: RNAcentral